ACAACAAAUACACUGGUGCAGAUUUCGAUGAAGACUUACGUUCGGUGCUGCGUCGUGCUGGUUGCCGCGAUGAGAAGGUCGCCUUCAUACUGGACGAGUCUAAUGUACUGGAUAGCGGCUUUUUGGAGCGUAUGAACACGUUACUGGCUAACGGAGAGGUGCCCGGUCUAUUUGAGGGCGAUGAGUUUGCAGCGCUGAUGACUCAAUGCAAGGAAGGUGCGCAGAGGGAGGGACUCAUGUUGGAUUCUAACGAUGAAUUAUAUAAAUGGUUCACUGGACAAGUGAUGCGAAC
Molecule: long non-coding RNA, 292 nt
Organism: Papilio machaon (common yellow swallowtail)
Lineage: Eukaryota; Metazoa; Arthropoda; Insecta; Lepidoptera; Papilionidae
Exons: 3
Source: RefSeq, a predicted model, not a curated record